UGGGGAAUCUUGGACAAUGGGCGCAAGCCUGAUCCAGCCAUGCCGCGUGAGUGAAGAAGGCCUUCGGGUUGUAAAGCUCUUUUUACCAGGGACGAUAAUGACGGUACCUGGAGAAUAAGCCCCGGCAAACUUCGUGCCAGCAGCCGCGGUAAUACGAAGGGGGCUAGCGUUGUUCGGAAUUACUGGGCGUAAAGCGCACGUAGGCGGAUUGUUAAGUCAGGGGUGAAAUCCUGGGGCUCAACCCCAGAACUGCCUUUGAUACUGGCUGUCUCGAGGUCGAGAGAGGUUGGUGGAAUUCCUAGUGUAGAGGUGAAAUUCGUAGAUAUUAGGAAGAACACCAGUGGCGAAGGCGGCCAACUGGCUCGAUACUGACGCUGAGGUGCGAAAGCGUGGGGAGCAAACAGGAUUAGAUACCCAAGUAGUCCCUGAGCGGGCUGGCAAGGCGCAU
Molecule: ribosomal RNA, 448 nt
Filed under: uncultured bacterium
Lineage: Bacteria
Description: bacterial SSU rRNA
Rfam family: Bacterial small subunit ribosomal RNA
Source: RNAcentral